CCUACGGGCGGCUGCAGUGGGGAAUUUUGCGCAAUGCUCGUAAGAGUGACGCAGCGACGCCGCGUGAAUGACGAAGGCCUUCGGGUCGUAAAGUUCUUUCGACCGGGAAGCAAAUGCCUAUAAGCAACUGUGUAUGUAUUGACGGUACCUGUAUAAGCAGCAUCGGCUAACUCCGUGCCAGCAGCCGCGGUAAUACGGAGGAUGCGAGCGUUAUCCGGAUUUAUUGGGUUGAAAGGGUGCGCAGGCGGAAAAUCAAGUCAGCGGUAAAAUGGAGGGGCUCAACCUCUUCGAGCCGUUGAAACUGGGUUUCUUGAGUGAGCGAGAAGUAUGCGGAAUGCGUGGUGUAGCGGUGAAAUGCAUAGAUAUCACGCAGAACUCCGAUUGCGAAGGCAGCAUACCGGCGCUCAACUGACGCUCAUGCACGAAAGUGUGGGUAUCGAACAGGAUUAGAUACCCCUGUAGUC
RNAcentral lists this ribosomal RNA (464 nucleotides) under uncultured bacterium. Its description in RNAcentral is "partial 16S ribosomal RNA". It matches the Rfam family "Bacterial small subunit ribosomal RNA", at positions 338 to 795 of the family's 1533-position model. The record is from RNAcentral.